Molecule: ribosomal RNA, 301 nt
Filed under: uncultured bacterium
Lineage: Bacteria
Description: partial 16S ribosomal RNA
Rfam family: Bacterial small subunit ribosomal RNA
Source: RNAcentral
CAGUAGCCGCGGUAAUACGUAGGGUGCGAGCGUUAAUCGGAAUUACUGGGCGUAAAGCGUGCGCAGGCGGUAAUGUAAGACAGAUGUGAAAUCCCCGGGCUCAACCUGGGAACUGCAUUUGUGACUGCAUUGCUGGAGUGCGGCAGAGGAGGAUGGAAUUUCGCGUGUAGCAGUGAAAUGCGUAGAUAUGCGGAGGAACACCGAUGGCGAAGGCAAUCCCCUGGGCCUGCACUGACGCUCAUGCACGAAAGCGUGGGGAGCAAACAGGAUUAGAUACCCCCGUAGUCCCUGUCUCUUAUAC